AGAUGGACAUAUAUAACAUGGCAGCUGGAAACAGCUCUUGCCAUUGAGAGUGAUUCUGGCAGAGAUGGAGACAUAUAGAGCCAUCCAUGCCCCAGCUUGACAACACUUGGCACUUCCCAGGCCUUUGCCUGAAGAGUUCAAAACACAUUGUAUGGGGGAAAGGCAGGUCUGGUGUAGGGUCCUGGUGGAGGUAGAACCUGGAAGACCUUUGAAGGGGGGUCCCCAGGGGGAAGGAUGACAGAGCCAAGCUAGUCAUGAGCUUCCUGUUUUGCCAAGAGCACAAGAACAGCUCUUGGAAUUGGAGUUGGCUCUGGAGAUGGUAGCACUCCUCAGGACACAGACUUUCUGGCUGCUGCUCCUUACAAGCCGCUUAACAGCUUUUCCUGCAUGUGCUGGGUUGGAUUCAGGCUUGCUUCAAACUUCAUUUUGGCUUUUAAUUUCCACAGGAGUAAAAGCUCUUUGCCUGCUCUCUCUGAUGCUGCUUGUGUUUUGUAGCUGCAUUCUGGAGCCAAGGGCCAGCCUGUUUCAGGCAAUCCUCAUGGAUGUGCCUUCGCCCUUCCUCCCAGAUAACACAGCGCUGGGACAUUGGCAUGGGGUCAUCAGUGUGAAUCUGUAUGGUGGUGAUGGGCUGAUGUAAAUUAAAUGAGACUGUUCUCAGCAUGGUCUCUGGUGCCCCAGGGUUCCUGUCUUCUGCACAGACAAGCCCUGACAUGAUCUAAUCUCAAGUGGAGGUGCUUCACCUUGAGUUCUGACAGGACAGAUUCCUUCUGAGGGGUCUCAUUCUGAUGCAGAAGAUGAUGCUCAGAGGGACCAUUGCAUUUCCAAAUAAAUUAACUAACAGUAGGGUUUUAUAGUGAAGAUGGCUGCCUGAUUGUCUUUUGGAUGGGACAGGAAUAGAGUACAUUUUGGGGAGAAAAACUAGCUGGGCAGAACCAGGCAGGCAGGUAAGGAGCAGUUAAGGACUCUGGCUGGUCCUGAAGCUGAGUCUGAGUGUGGGGCAGACAUGGUGCUCCCCCAGGGGAACCAGAGUUCAGCUGCUGGGUGGGAGCCCCAGAAUGGCAAAGGGGGAGCCCUCUUUUCCCCCAGGGAGAGCCCUCUCUCACCCCUCUUGGGCUGCAGAGGGAGCGAAACAGGCUGCAAAGGGCUCAGGUCAUGUAGCACCUCUGUGGGGCUAGAGUGGGGACCUGGGGUGUGACAGUGCUGCUCCCAGUGCUGCAUCACCCCCAGCUUUCUGGAGGGCUUGUCAUGUGGGAUGUUGCCUUUGCAAACAGUGCCUGGUGCACCCCAGCAGUGACUAGUGCAUCCCAGCACACCCAGUGCGUAUCCCUAGACAGCUUCUUGGCUCUUGCAGCCAUGCUCAGCUAUGUUUUCCACUGCACCACCAGGCUGGGACUCCCUGUCACUCAAAGUGUGUCUGACUCAGCCUUUCUCAAAAUAUUUCAGCUUACAAUUGCAGGAUUUGUAGCCAUGCUGCUGUGUGCCUGGGCAUGCGGUGUCAGUGUGUGCACACUGUGUCUGGGGGUGUCUGUUUGGGGUGUGGGUGUGCAAGAUGAGGGGCUCCCUCCUGCCUCACUGUUGGCAGCUGCGUGACCCCAGACCUCUGCCCCAGCCCCAACGCCACCGCAGCUCCCGCCAGCAGUUCCCACCAGCAGUUCCCCUUCCUGGCUCCACCUCGCCGCAGCACCAUGGCGGCCCUCAUCUCGGUGUGCGACUUCGUGCUGCAGACGCAGGAGGACCUCAGUUCACCCACCACCUCUGCCUUUGCCAGCCACAUGGGCCGCUGCAAGGCCACUGCCAACAGCCUGGAGGAGGGCUUGGAUGCUGACCGAGCUGUGCUGCAGAAGAUGAGGAAAGCAGCCAAGGCGGAGUACAGCUGUGGACAAGACCUCAUCAGCCACCUCGAAGCCCACAUUGCUGCACAGGAGAAGUUCUCAGCCAACUACCAGCUGGAGGGUGAGGAACAGCUGGCCAGUGCCUUUAACACCUUUGCUGCCUUCUCCCAGGAGCUGCUGACUGCCGUCAGGAGCCUGUGGCAGAGUUUGUACCACAACAUUAACUUUUCCCUGGAGUCAUUAAUAAAGGGUGACAUGAAAGAGCUCAAAGGGGAGUUCAAGAAGCCCUUUGAGAAGGCCUGCAAAGACUAUGAGAGUAAACUUGGCAAGAUUGAGAAAGAGAAGCGUGAGCUGGCGAAGCAGCACGGCAUGGUACGGAGCGAGGUGAGUGGUGGGGAGAUUGCUGAGGAGAUGGAGAAGGAGCGCAGGAUUUUCCAGUUGAACAUGUGUGAGUAUCUAAUCAAAGUGAAUGAGAUCAAAACUAAGAAAGGAAUUGACCUACUGCAAAACCACAUCAAGCACUGCAGCUCACAGUUCAAUUUUUUCCAGGAAUGUUUAAACACAACAGCAAAACUUAAGGAGUUUACAGAGAAACUCAUCCCGGAGCUGCAGAGUAUGAAGGUCAAGCAAGACGAAGAGAAGAAGCAGCUCUGCUCCCUUCGGGAUCAGCUGAAAACAGCAUUGCAGCUGGAUCAGAAAGAGGAUCCUGGGAACAAGCAGGCAGGGUACAACAUGCAUCAGCUGCAAGGGAACAAGCAGUAUGGCACAGAGAAGUCGGGGACACUCUCCAAGAGAAGUGAUGGGUUGAGAAAAGUCUGGCAGAAGAGGAAAUGCACCAUCAGCAAUGGCUACCUGACCAUCUCUCACAGCAUGCCCAACCGCCCACCAGCCAAGCUGAAUUUACUGACCUGCCAGGUGAAGCCGAACAUGGAUGACAAGAAAUGCUUCGAUCUGGUUUCCCACAACCGCACGUACCGCUUCCUGGCAGAGGACGAGCAAGACUGUAUUGCCUGGGUGUCCGUCCUCAGCAACAGCAAGGAGGAGGCGCUGAACGUGGCAUUCAGCAAGGCACAGGGCAGAGAGAAGAGUAGCCGGGAGGAGCUGAUCCAAGCCAUCAUCGAGGAGGUCAGAGGCAUGCCUGGAAACAGGGAGUGCUGCGACUGCUCUGCCCCAGAUCCCACUUGGCUCUCCAUUAACUUGGGCAUCCUGAUCUGCAUAGAAUGCUCUGGGAUUCACAGAGAGAUGGGUGUGCAUCUCUCCCGCAUCCAGUCGCUGUCGCUGGACAAGCUGGCAACCUCCGAAUUGCUGCUGGCGAGGAAUAUUGGCAACUCUGGCUUCAAUGCCAUCGUGGAAGCAAAUCUCCCCAGCUUUUCCUUGAAGCCCACAGUGCGCAGUGACAUGGCCUUUCGGAAAAAUUUCAUCAUUUCCAAGUACAUUGAGAAGAAAUAUGCCAAGAGGAGUCCUUCUGCUCAGUGCUCCAGCCUCCCAGAAGCUGUCAAGGGCAAGGACAUAUUUUCUUUGCUCCAAGCGUAUGCGGAGAACGUGGAUUUGAGCGAGCCUGUGCUGGCACCUCUGCAGGAACCUGGGGAAACCAUUCUCCACCUGGCAGUGCUGUUGUCUGAUCGAACCUCUUUGCAUAUCGUUGAUUUUCUUGUCCAGAACAGUGGGAGCCUGGCAAAGCAGACAGCAGGGGGGAACACGCCGCUUCACUACUGCUGCUCUCACAACAAACCCGAGUGUGUCAAGCUGCUGCUGAAGGCCAAAGCCAACAUCGCCAUCACUAAUGAAGUAGGAGAGACUGCCCUGGAUGUUGCUAGGAGGAUGAGACAUCUGCUGUGUGAAGAGCUGCUGCUGCAGGCCCAGAGCAAUCAGUUCAACCCCAAUGUCCACGUGGAGUAUGAGUGGUGGCUGGGCCAAGAUGACAUGUAUGAGAGUGAUGAAGACCUGGAUGAGAAGCUGGGUCCUGUGAAGAGGGGGUCUGCCCGUCCCCAGAGCUGCUACCACCCCCCUGCCAUGGCCCCCAGGACAGAGGGCCCAGCAGGAGCAGUGCCACGAGGGAGAUGGCCAGACACCUGCCCCCCGCCAGCCGCCCACCUCUGCAGCAUGGACGUGCCACCAGCCCCCUCCUAUGCCCCUCCGUUCCUGCCCCAGUGGGAAAAGCCAGCUCCCCAGGGGGCAUAUCCACCCUUCCUUACCAGCUCGUCAGUCUCUGCUGAGGACACAAGAAGUAGGAGGAGCCCAUCCUUGCCUCUGAGCAUUAAACACAAGCGCACAUCCUCGGAGCCGGUGCCUUGGGUACCACUCAGCCCCGAGCAGCCCAGCCCUACCAGCCUGGCUUCAGGUACCCUGAAAACCAUGGACCACUUCUGCAUGCCUGGCCCUGGCAAAGUGGGACAACCUGGCCCAUGCAGAUCCCUCCAGGAGUCAGAUCCAUGUUCUGGCCAUGCACAGGAUGUCCCUCCUCUUCUUCCUCGUAGGAGCAGUUUGAACAGAUUGCUGAUCCGCAGGGUCCGUGCUCUCUAUGACUGCAAUGCUGACCGGGAAGAUGAGCUGACUUUCCGCACAGGCGAGAUCAUUGUGGUGUGUGAAAAGGAGGACAGCAAUUGGUGGGUGAGCGAACCUGUGUAUGCUGACCAGUACUAGGAUGCACACGAUCCCCUCUCCAUCCAUCUCUUGCCUCUGUCACACCCAUUGUCAUCUCCUGCUCUGCAUCUGCCUCUCCAUCUUCCAUCUUUUCCUUGAAAGGGUGGAUUGAAGGACAGCCUCACAGGCAAGGUGUUUUCCCUGCUUCAUUUGUUCAUGUGCUCAAUGAAUAGGAG
Egretta garzetta (little egret) is the source of this 4651-nucleotide RNA transcript. It is a transcript of the gene named arf-GAP with SH3 domain, ANK repeat and PH domain-containing protein 1-like, with no coding region annotated. The transcript is spliced from 26 exons. The record is from RefSeq and is a predicted model, not a curated record. NCBI's taxonomy places the organism in Eukaryota, Metazoa, Chordata, Aves, Pelecaniformes, Ardeidae.